This is a long non-coding RNA of Oncorhynchus keta (chum salmon), 414 nucleotides long. RefSeq lists it as uncharacterized. The record is from RefSeq and is a predicted model, not a curated record. Lineage: Eukaryota; Metazoa; Chordata; Actinopteri; Salmoniformes; Salmonidae. The transcript is spliced from 3 exons.
UGCUGGUAGUUGGCUGACGUGGCCUCGCCAGCUAAAUGGCAGAAUGGGACAAUCUGGCCAGCUCCACAUCCUCACUUUAAUCAGGUAACAUCACAGUGUAAUGUAGCAGAAUGGGACAAUCUGGCCAGCUCCACAUCCUCAGUUUAAUCAGGUAACAUCACAGUGUAAUGUAGCAGAAUGGGACAAUCUGGCCAGCUCCACAUCCUCAGUUUAAUCAGGUAACAUCACAGUGUAAUGUAGCAGAAUGGGACAAUCUGGCCAGGUCCACAUCCUCACUUUAAUCAGAUAACAUCACAGUGUAAUGUAGCAGAAUGGGACAAUCUGGCCAGCUCCACAUCCUCACUUUAAUCAGGUAACAUCACAGUGUAAUGUAGCAGAAUGGGACAAUCUGGCCAGCUCCACAUCCUCACUUUA